This 72-nucleotide transfer RNA is filed under the name Phrynosoma platyrhinos (Desert horned lizard). Its description in RNAcentral is "tRNA-OTHER". The record is from RNAcentral. Lineage: Eukaryota; Metazoa; Chordata; Lepidosauria; Squamata; Phrynosomatidae.
GCCAGUUUGGUGUAGUGGUUUGAGCGUUUGACUUUGAAUCUGGAGACCAAGGUUCGAUUCCCUGCAUGGCCA